This 8709-nucleotide long non-coding RNA is filed under the name Nicotiana benthamiana. Its description in RNAcentral is "long non-coding RNA (NBEN_LNC020226)". Lineage: Eukaryota; Viridiplantae; Streptophyta; Magnoliopsida; Solanales; Solanaceae. The record is from RNAcentral.
ACUCUUGUUUUGUCGUAUUCUUGGAUGCCUAUCACUAUCAGAUGUUGCUUCUGCUUCGAUUUUGUUCUAUUUUGUUGUUGUUGCUUUUCCAUGACUCUUUCAUUAUUAUAUUUAGUUGCUUUAAUGUUGCGACUAUAUUCGCCUGAGUCGGAGUCUAUCGGAAACAACCUCUCUACCUGCACACAUGUUGUAAAGAGUGUGAAGCUAGGAAACGCGACAAGCCCCUUUUCGCUUAAAGCGUGAGCGAGAAGCGAAGCGCUCGCUUUUUUGAAGUGAAGUGGAAUUUUUAAAAAAAUAUUAAAAUAAAUAUUGAAACAAAAGAAGAGGCAAUAAGAACUAAGAAGAACUGAAACGAAAAAGAAGGCAGUAAGUAAGAAAAAAAUUGGGCAGCAUUUCGCUGCAAUUUAAGACUGAAACACUGAAGGAAAAAGAAGAAGAAGCGAAUGCGAAAAGAAGAACCGUAGGAAAAAAAAUUUGGCAGCAUUUUGCUACUAGUUUGAGACUGAAACAGUGAAAGAAAAUGAAAAAAAAGAGGAAGGAGGAGGAGAAGGAGGAAGAAGAAAUUACACACCUGGGCUUGAACUUAGAGGGUGUUUGGAUUGGCUUAUUUUAAGUGUUUAUUGGCUUUUAAGCACUUUUUUAGUUUGAGUGGUGUUUGGCAAUGAUAAAAAGUGCUUAAAGCACUUACUUUUAGGCAUAAAGGUACAAAAACAAGCCAAAAGCCAAAAGUUGGGUAUUACCAACUUAUGGUUUUUGGUUUUUAGCUUAAAAGCUACUUUUUAUAAGCUAAUCCAAACAUCCUCUUAAUGAACUUGAACUUGAAAUGUGCUGAAAAUGGGAACCCUAGUCGCUGUUUUUCUCUGCUGCUAGAUGAUGUUUUGAAAAUAGACAGUUUUUUGGUUUAAUUAACAUUGGCAGCCACUUAAUAUAGUGAAGUGCUCGCUACUGUCGCUUCUCGACAUCACCUGCUACACUUCAGAACAUAGAAGCGACCAUGUGCCUGCUUCGCGCUUUAAGCAUUGAAGCGAGCGCUUUUCACAACACUGCCUGCACAAGGUAGAGGUAAGGCUGUGUACACACUAUCAUUCCCAGACAAUACUUGUGGUAUUACAUUAGAUUUGUUGUUGUUGUUGUUGAUAGGAAAUAUAAAGAACUUCUAAUACUUUUUAUUUUUAUUAUAUUUUUUUAUUUUUGUUUUGUACAAUAUUGGCCAGAGAUGAGUUCAGAUGGUGUAGCAUGGUCUGUGAAGAUUCAUAUACCCGACCCUAACUUGCAUGGGAUUGAGGCAUAGUAGUAGCAACAGCAGCAUUUGUUGUUGUAAUGACUUCUUAAAGAAGCCCCGAGGAUUAUGAGGCGCUCGCUUUAACACCUUCAUGCGUACACUAAGCCAGAGAAAGCAACAACCUAGCUUGAACUGAGUUUUAAGUGUUAAGUGCACCUCAAAUGCCUCUAACAACACCGACGGAGAUGCCUAAUAGAUGAGCUAGUGAGACGUGUUAUUGGAUUCAAUUGUUGCUUGAGCUGAGGGUUUUACAUACUGACUAAGACAUGACAUAUUCGUCUUCUUUAAACAAUGAUUUAUCUGAUUCCUGAAAUUUGGUGAACCAUCUUUUACUAACAUUGUUUUAUUAAUUAAAUAUAUUAAUCCUUCUUUUUAUAACCGAGAAAUUCUCGAGGACCAAUGCCAUAAAUAUAAUAAUCCUAUCAGCACUAAGGUUUCUGUUUUACAUUUGUAUUUCAUUUCCGGCCCUUCCCCGGACCCCGCGCAUAGCAGGAGCUUAGUGCAUCAGGCUACCCUUAUGUGCAUCUUAUGAUAAUCUGAUAUCAAAUGCUUAAAUAAUUUAAAUUGGAGUCUCGCUAACAACAUGAGCUUGAGUCUAUGUUUGAGCAUGAUUCAUAUUUCAAGACAAUAUCAAGUUUGAUGUGGUUCAGUUAAUCAUUAUUGCUGGCUCUCAAAUGCUUAAAUAAUUUAAAUUGGAGUCUCACUAACAACUUGAGCUUGAGUCUAUGUUUGAGCAUGAUUCAUAUUUCAAGACAACAUCAAGUUUGAUGUGGUUCAGUUAAUCAUUGCUGGCUCUCAAGUGUUAAUUCUUGUCUUCUUUAGAAUUUUUAAGAGAAGACAUGAUCCAAUCAGAACUUGACACGUUUAGAUAGAAAGGAAGGGAGAGCGGUCUCUUUUUGGCAGGUCAUUAUGUAUAAGGCUCAAAGGGAGGACAAAGUUCUCCAUAUAGGCAGUGCGGAUAGCAAAAGUACCACGGGAAAUUAUUUGCAUGGAUGAUGGAAAGCGUGUAAUAAUAACGACAGAAAUUAGAGAAGAAAGCAAAGUACGGGUUAAUUGGUGCUUCAUGUGCAAGCAUUCAGGAGAAAUGUGAAAUUUAUUAGUGCAUUGCAAGGUAGCCAAUCGGAUGUGGUGAAUAAUCCUGAAUAUGUUUAGCGUACAAUGGAUAGUGAAGGACAUCACACGUUGCUGGAUAUUCAGGAGGACAAGAAGGAGAUGGAAGACUUGGAAUGUCGCUUCUUUGGCAUUUAUAUGGGUCCUUUGGAGGAGGAUAAUACAUAUUAGAGACCUGCGUGGUGUCUGUUGGUAUAGAUGAUUGGAUGUCUUCUAUAGAUAACCAUAUUUUGUGUAGGUUUUCUAAUCUCACCUAUCAGAUUCCGUUGUGGGAAGACACAUUUCUUUUUGUAGAUUCGCCAAUGAUAUAAUUGAUAAUAUGAUGAGAAUUGAAUAUCAAUUUUUGACCGCUAAAAAGGGAGUGUUCUUGAUUAAUAAAAUUACAUGUUUACUAUAAGCAGGACAAAGGCUUUCAAGGAGGAGUCCAGUAGCGAAUGAAAUGAAUGAUUGUGGUUGGAUCUUACCCUUCUACUUCGGAAUGAUUCAAAGAGAAAGAUCUCAAAUAUUUGUGUACUUAUUGCAUGUGGGGUCCCUCUUCCCCCAGAACAUCAAUAAAAUAUUGCUUUAUAAAAGAAUGUCUGUAUUGUAUGGCGCUUUACGCUUGUCUCGGAUGCUGCUAACCACAUACUCUAUCAUGUAAGUAGAGUUACUUGAAGGGGAGCCAACUGCAACUGAGAGCUGCUGACAUCUUUCUACUGAUCUAGCACUUAGUUCCAUUCCUUAGGUUAAUCUGGCAGUAAAUUAAUAUAUAAAUAGGUCGCGGUCAUCUAAUUUGUAUCUAAAUUUGUGAAUCUUGUGGAAGAAAAUAUAAACUGGCAGCAAAAUCUGUCAUGGUGUUCAAGUUUCAACUUAAUAUGAACUUUCAAGUUUCAUUUUGUGUGAUAUUUGGUCAGAGGAACCUAAGUGGUUCUCUGUGCUUUUCCCUUUUUAUUACACGUCCAAUUCUAGACCAGUAUCUGCUGUAUUUGUUGUAAAUAUCUUUGGUGUGGUUGCUCUCUUACCACUUUUGUAUCUUUAUUAUCAUCUCAUAAACCUUUGCUGUUUGCAGUUAUAGAAGCAGCCAAUGGAUUGCAAGCUUGGAAGAUACUGGAAAACCUGACCUAUCAUAUUGAUCUAGUGUUAACAGAGGUUGUAAUGCCUUGUUUGUCAGGCUUAGGUCUUCUAUGCAAAAUCAUGAGCCACUACACACGCAAGACUAUUCCCGUGAUCAGUAAGUAACCGUUGCUAGUUUGGCCAAUUCGUCUAUAGUAAAACUUUUAUUUUGAAAUGAUACUAACACCUGAUGAGUGCUAUGUGCAGUGAUGUCAUCUCACGAUUCAAUGGGUUUAGUCUUCAAGUGUUUGUCAAAAGGUGCAGUUGACUUCCUGGUAAAACCUAUACGGAAGAAUGAGCUUAAGAACCUGUGGCAGCAUGUGUGGAGAAGAUGCCACAGUGUGAGACACCAUUACUCUCAGGAUCCUUUUUCUUCUAAGCUUUUUGGUGUAAAAUGAAUGGCUGAUGCAUUGAUGUCCAUGAGCAUACCUAAAUUAUCAGUUAUCGUUAGUCAUGGAGAUUAGUUUCUGCUAAUUUGUUCAAUUGGCUGUUUUUCUAGUUAUAGGCUGUUUCUUUAGUUGUGAGUAAUUUGCCAUUUAGCUAGCCUUCCCAGUGUUCUUUUGUACUACAGUGAUUAGAUCAUUUUCAUUUUCUCAGUCUAGUGGAAGUGGGAGCGAAAGUGGUACUCAAACCCAAAAAUCUAUAAAAUCAAAAAGCAGUGAGAAGUCUGAAAACAACAGUGGUAGCAAUGUUGGGGAAGAUAAUGGGAGUGAUGACCAAGAUAUUGGAAACGGCAGUGAUGAUGGAAGUGGCACACAGGUACUGACAUAUGGUUGCCUUCAAUAAAAAUUAAAGGACAUUGUGCAAAAUCUGCCUUUUAGCUUAUUUUUCAUUUAUUCAUAUGCAGAAAAUAACAAAUGAUAGCAACAGCCUCGAAAAUGGGCUAGGACUCCUCUUUCGUAGUUAUUUGAAGCAUUAGAUAAUUGAGGUGAUUUCCUCUUUUUUUUUCGAAAUGUUCUACUGAUUAGUACAUGUAGGCGAGAGUCUGAGACAGUAUAUUCUCACAUUUAAAACACUAAAUUCUGCAGCAAAUAAACGAGGUAGAAAUGUAAGACUUCAUUUGAGUUAGAGUGCAUUAGUAGUCCAUCGUGACUUAGAUAAUUUUUGAUGUCCCAACUAUUGAAAGCAAUGAUUAUAUAAGUUUCUUGCUGAAAGGAAAGAAGUAAAAACUACAAAAUUUAAUGUGUUUUUCCUUUAGUCGCAUAAUCUUUACGAUUCAAAACAAUAGUUCUAUAAUGAUGUCCCCGUUGUGCAUUAAAAUUCCCAUGUUUAAUGACUAAUAGAAGUACAGAAUCAUUUAAAUAAUAUUUCUUUGAGUCUGAAAAUUUUAUUUUGCAGAGUUCCUGGACAAACCAAGCUGUUGAAGUUGAUAGCUCUCAGGCAGUGCCACCACAGAAUCUGUUACCUGAGUGUUCAGACAGCACUUGUGCACAGGUUCUUCAUUCAAAUGCAAAAACCGCUGCUAACAGGAAUGCACACAUAAACGCCAAAAGAAAAUGCGAAGAAGGUGAAGAAAAACCUGGUAAUGAAUGUUACUCAUAUUUUUCACCGCUUUGGUUCUAGCUUCUCUUAGUUGACUGAAAAUGUAUCUAUCUUGUGGUUCAUUGAAGAUUACAUUGCAAAACGAAAAUCCUCCCUCGUAGGCAUACCUAGAAAUCAGAAGUCACAGUCUGAAAAUGCAAUCCAGAUUCCAUCCAAACUUGUUGGUACGAAACAGAAGAGUCUACUGGAAAUAGAUUCCAAUGCAAGCAGUUUUAAGAUGGAUAAACACCAGGCAAAGCUAGAUGGUAAUCGUCCAUCCACUGAAUAUCAUGAUGUGACUGCUGAGACGUCUCAUCCUCGGAGUGACAGCAGAGAGUUGAACAAAGCUGUAUUAGAAAUCAAUAAUGCAUCCGUUAAUGAAUCUAAACAGGUACUUCUUGAGCUGAGUUUGAACAGGCUAAGAGAACUAAAAGAACCAGGAAAAACUGUUCAAGAUGAUCGUAAUAUUUUGAGAAGAUCAGAUCUUUCAGCUUUCUCAAGGUUUGGAGACAAUAGUUACUAGUUUAUGCUUUCUACAGUAUUUUAUCAGAGCUACUGUUGAUUUCCUUUGUUGGAUGGGGAACUUUCAGCAAUUUACGUUUUGCUCUGUGGGUGGACCAUUUUGCAGGUAUAAUUCGUCCUCAAACCCUACGAGGACUCCUCAUGGGAUCACCCUAAGUAGUUCUUUAAUUGAUAAUAGCCAAGAAGUUGCCAAGAAAGAGUCGGUGUGUGAUGUUCCAACUCAGACAAAUGAGAAAUUACAUCCAACCUCAAAUGGAACUGGCAAUAACAUAGAUAUGGGGUCCGCCACUAAUAAACUUCCUAAGGAGCUGUUACCUUCUAGAGAUAAGUCAGAAGCAACAUCGACGAUUAACGAUUUGCAAUCAUCAUCAGCUUUCAAGCCUGUAAAAAUUGACUUUGGAAUUUCUCCUCACCAAGGGCAACAAGUUAAGCCUUGUAACAUGCAAGCCACAAUCAGUCUUACUCCACAAGGCUCUCACACUGACAUCCUAAUUCAGCAACCUCAUCAGCACCAGCGAUAUCAUCAUGUCAACAACCUGGAUCGGCAUUGCACUUCCAACCAUGUUGAUUGCUCAUUGAAAAAACUGGCUGUGGGUGGACCAAGUUGUGCUUCGUCCAAUAUUCUAGCUAGGCCUCAUGAAGGGAACCCUGAAUAUCAGAGUUUGAACAGAAGUGCUUCUGGAAGUAACCAUGGAAGCAAUGCGCAAGAUGGAAGCUGCACGGAUAUAAAUGCUGGACGCAGAAAUGGGGAAAGUGAUAAUGGGUUAGCUGGCAAAAAUGGAAGUGGUGAUGCCAGUGGCAGUGGUUGUGGAAGUACGAUAGAUCCUUCUAAACUUGCGAUAGCAGCAGCCUUGACCAAAUUUCAUCAGAAGAAGAAAGAAAGAUGCUUUAAAAAAAAGGUACAUUGGAACAUACAGUUUGGAGCUUAUCUAUCAUAAUCUUGUUUUCAUCAGUGACUUAUCCUGUUCCUACUUUCUUGUGAAUCUUUGUGCUGAAGUACUUUUGGUAUCAGCAUAUUAUACUGAGAGCCUCCUAAUUCACUUAUAUAAGACACAUAAAUUUCAGCAGUCAAGUUCAUUUCUUAUGCUUUAGAGUUGAAGACUACUCUAAUCCACAAACACAGUGUGACAUCAUAGUUUAAUUCUGCAAUUUUAUCAUCAUCUUAUGACCAUGCCUACCCUUAAAUUAAUUUGUUGGUAAUUGAUAUUUGUUUUAGUUUUCUAACUAGUAUGAACAACAACAGCAACAAACCCAGUGUAAUCCAACAAGUGGAGCCUGGGGACUGGGGAGGGUAGUGUGUACGCAGACCUUACCCCAUGUGACUCAUUGGGAUGCAAGCAUAUAUAUAUCCUUUGUAUAAAAUCAAAUCCAAAGAGAGAAUUAAUUCUAGGAUCAAGGACAUUAGUAGAUUGAGCAAGAUCGCCUUCUAAUAUACAUUUUACCUUUGGAUGUUUUAAUUGUAGGCAUAGGAGAAGAAGACAAAAGGCAUGGGAAGUAGCUCUGUAGGCUCUUAUGUGGGUCGUAUGGAGAGAGAAAUAGGAAAGCUUUUGAGGGGAUUUGUACUAUUGAGGAAUAGCCUCUUUUCUUUGAUGGCUUUUUGGUGCACCCUUGAGAUUCCUUCUUGUAUAGAUGAUUUGGUGUCUUUCGUAGAGAAUCGUGUUUUGUUGUAGAUUCUCUAUUUUUGGUAUACCUAUUGUAUACGCCCAUACGGGAGUUUUCUCCCAUCCUUAAUACCUCCACAAUGAUUUGAUUCUAUCGAGUAUGAAAUGAGCAAGUAUAUAUGUCAAAUGAAAUUUCUAUCUUCUUUUAUUCAAGUCAUAGAACUGAUAACUAAGACAAGAGGGGUUGCUCUGAUGGUAAGCAACCCCCACUUCCAACCGAAAGGUUGUGAGUNNNNNNNNNNNNNNNNNNNNNNNNNNNNNNNNNNNNNNNNNNNNNNNNNNNNNNNNNNNNNNNNNNNNNNNNNNNNNNNNNNNNNNNNNNNNNNNNNNNNNNNNNNNNNNNNNNNNNNNNNNNNNNNNNNNNNNNNNNNNNNNNNNNNNNNNNNNNNNNNNNNNNNNNNNNNNNNNNNNNNNNNNNNNNNNAACCCCACUAAGUGGGAUUAUACUGGGUNNNNNNNNNNNNNNNNNNNNNNNNNNNNNNNNNNNNNNNNNNNNNNNNNNNNNNNNNNNNNNNNNNNNNNCUACCCUAGGGUAGGGGUAAGGUCUGCAUACACACUACCCUCCCCAAACCCCACUAAGUGGGAUUAUACUGGGUUGUUGUUGUUGUUGUUGUGUAAAACUGAUAACUAACAUUGUGGAUCAAGUGUUACUUUUGCAGGGAAAUGGACUGUAAUUUUUAAAAUCAGGUAGGCAAUACUUGAACCAUCAUGUAUGAACCUCUUGAGCAAAUUGUUAGAGAAGAACUGAGUUUUGUGCUUCCAAGUCAAGUGAUCCUAACUAGUUGAAGUGGUCUACUACUUCUCUGCAUCAAACAGUUGAUUGUGAGGAACACACAUAUUUCUAGUUUCAGUAAUCUUCCUGUUGUAUUGUGCAUGUGGACAUUCAGAAAGUGAUAGGAGUGCCUUAUAUGAGUAGGGAGUUGAAGUUUAGAAGGAAUAAGGCUGACCCCAAAAGAGUACAUGGGUUGUAGACCUAAAAGCUAUGUUGCAAAUUGCAUGCAACGAUCAAGGAGUUCUUCAUUUCUGUUAUUUUGCUGAAGUCAAAUGGCUAAACCAUCUAUUUGUUUCAGGAUGGCAUAGUCGCAGUUAUCUUUUCUUCCUUGAAUUGUAUCUUUUGAUUCAGUACCAAACAGAAAGAGGAUAGCAGAACAGUGGCAACUGUGUCUGAGGAUAUUUUCUGCGUCAGACAGAGCAAUACAUUCCAAGCAAUACUGCAGAAUGAUGAUUUAGAGUCAUACUAAAUGAUUCUGCAUGCAUAUAGUUUGUUUGUUCAUAAUAGUGUCCUGUACUGUGAGGAUCCGGUCAUGUAAAACGUAUAGUCAGCUUUAACCAUUUAUUCCUGGCAGAUAUUGACAGUGCCAGUAAUUGUCACUUGUUAUGAGGGGGUUCUGCUUUUCAGCAAGUUGCCUUCUACAAUAACUUGUCACUCUUCAUUUGUGUUUAAUGAACAAAAUAUAUAUGGUUUGAUCCUGUUGGUGUAAAUUUAUGUUUAUGACAUUCUGAUGCUUGAAUUAGCCCCCCC